Molecule: long non-coding RNA, 701 nt
Filed under: Aotus nancymaae (Ma's night monkey)
Lineage: Eukaryota; Metazoa; Chordata; Mammalia; Primates; Aotidae
Description: lncRNA (ENSANAG00000038865.1)
Source: RNAcentral
CUUUGGAGAGUUAGACAAAAUCUUAUUUUGUAUUGAUUUUUUCCCCCCUGCAUAGAGAUUCAUUAAAGAGUGUAUUUGAAGGAUGAGUAUAUAUGCGUGUAUUUUAGGGGUUGAAGUAAUAACACAGAGACCAUAUUUUGCAAACUUGUUCACCUCUGAAGACAUUUUGUUUUAGUAAUGGAUGAUCUCUUCAUUUGUAUUAACUGGGUAUGCUAAAAUUUUUUGAGGUGAUCCAUGUAACUGCAUACUGACAGAAAGUUUCUCUUUUCUGCUUUUCAGCUAUUCGAGUACACUGCACCCAGUUUUGGUUCUGUGCCAGGAUUAAACCUACGAUAUUUCACAAUGUGUAUAUGAAUUCCGAUGAAGUGUUUCUAGGAGAUGGCUGCCCUGUAACCCAUUCUUUGCCAGAUGUCUACUAUGAGUUUUUCUACCAUCCUCAUGACUGUGGUAUUGUAUCUCAACCUCUCCAGGAACUUAUUCUGCUUAGAACUAAAAUCAAGUAUAUCUCAAGAGAUUCUACUGUCCGAUCUGAAAUGCCUCUGUCGUGUGUUGUCCGCAAUCAGAAUCCUCUUUUAAAUGCAGUUGAAAUGAGAGAUGAGGAAAAUGUUACUGAAUGGGAGAUAGAUGUGAGGAUACACAUUGUGAAUGAAGAUGGGGCAGUAACUUCUACAACACAGUCUUGUGGCUAUAACCUGUACUGA